RNAcentral lists this ribosomal RNA (207 nucleotides) under uncultured bacterium. Its description in RNAcentral is "partial 16S ribosomal RNA". It matches the Rfam family "Bacterial small subunit ribosomal RNA", at positions 568 to 774 of the family's 1533-position model. The record is from RNAcentral.
CGCGUAGGCGGUUUGCUAAGUCGGAUGUGAAAACUCUGGGCUCAACCCAGAGCCUGCAUCCGAAACUGGCAGGCUAGAGUUCUGGAGGGGGUAGCGGAAUUCCUGGUGUAGCGGUGAAAUGCGUUGAGAUCGGAAGGAACGCCCGUGGCGAAAGCGAGGUCCUGGACGUCUUCUGACGCUGAGACGCGAAAGCUAGGGGAGCGAACG